RNAcentral lists this long non-coding RNA (496 nucleotides) under Mus spicilegus (steppe mouse). RNAcentral's name for it is "lncRNA (ENSMSIG00000009980.1)". Lineage: Eukaryota; Metazoa; Chordata; Mammalia; Rodentia; Muridae. The record is from RNAcentral.
CAUUGACAUCUUUCCUUUUAUCUUUUCGCGUCUUGUUUUUCCCAGUUCUUCCCUUCACAGCUGAUGCAAGAAAAUAUGAGUGAAGUCACAAAUGUCACCAAGGAAAGGAAGAACAGAAAAAUAACUUGAAUAUUCAAGAUGGGCAGACUAGUUCAACGACACAUCAAGCCUUGUGAAAAGGUGACUCCGAGCCUGUGGCAGGAAGACAAUGUAACAACCAUUACCAGUUCUCUGGGGCACUGCAGGCCACGUGAUGGUGAUGUCGAAGGCAGUGCUUCCUCAGUGUCAGAGUCAGCGUGGUGGCGUCUGUGCACAACCCUGGCAAGCUGGUCUUCUGCACCUUUAAUUUUGAGGAAGCUCACUGUCCGUCUGUCUAUAAUGCCAGGCCUGUUCUCCGUCCAGCUCAGCAGCGUGGCAGCCAUUCUUACACAAAGACAUCUGUGUAUCCAUUUCUAAGUACAGAGGUGAUCUGUGGUGUCGGCUGACAAGUUAUUCC